This 301-nucleotide ribosomal RNA is filed under the name uncultured bacterium. RNAcentral's name for it is "partial 16S ribosomal RNA". It matches the Rfam family "Bacterial small subunit ribosomal RNA", at positions 509 to 807 of the family's 1533-position model. The record is from RNAcentral.
CAGCAGCCGCGGUAAUACGUAGGUGGCAAGCGUUGUCCGGAAUUAUUGGGCGUAAAGGGCUCGCAGGCGGUUUCUUAAGUCUGAUGUGAAAGCCCCCGGCUCAACCGGGGAGGGUCAUUGGAAACUGAGAAACUUGAGUGCAGAAGAGGAGAGUGGAAUUCCACGUGUAGCGGUGAAAUGCGUAGAGAUGUGGAGGAACACCAGUGGCGAAGGCGACUCUCUGGUCUGUAACUGACGCUGAGGAGCGAAAGCGUGGGGAGCGAACAGGAUUAGAUACCCGCGUAGUCCCUGUCUCUUAUAC